AUUGAACGCUGGCGGCAGGCCUAACACAUGCAAGUCGAACGGUAACAGGAAGCAGCUUGCUGCUUUGCUGACGAGUGGCGGACGGGUGAGUAAUGUCUGGGAAACUGCCCGAUGGAGGGGGAUAACUACUGGAAACGGUAGCUAAUACCGCAUAACGUCGCAAGACAAAAGAGGGGGACCUUAGGGCCUCUUGCCAUCGGAUGUGCCCAGAUGGGAUUAGCUAGUAGGUGGGGUAACGGCUCACCUAGGCGACGAUCCCUAGCUGGUCUGAGAGGAUGACCAGCCACACUGGAACUGAGACACGGUCCAGACUCCUACGGGAGGCAGCAGUGGGGAAUAUUGCACAAUGGGCGCAAGCCUGAUGCAGCCAUGCCGCGUGUAUGAAGAAGGCCUUCGGGUUGUAAAGUACUUUCAGCGGGGAGGAAGGGAGUAAAGUUAAUACCUUUGCUCAUUGACGUUACCCGCAGAAGAAGCACCGGCUAACUCCGUG
RNAcentral lists this ribosomal RNA (490 nucleotides) under uncultured bacterium. RNAcentral describes it as "partial 16S ribosomal RNA". It matches the Rfam family "Bacterial small subunit ribosomal RNA", at positions 30 to 507 of the family's 1533-position model. The record is from RNAcentral.